UACGUAGGGGGCAAGCGUUGUUCGGAUUCAUUGGGCGUAAAGGGUGCGUAGGUGGCGCGCUAAGUCAGGUGUGAAAUUUCGGAGCUUAACUCCGAAACUGCAUUUGAUACUGGCGUGCUUGAGGACUGGAGAGGAGACUGGAAUUCAUGGUGUAGCAGUGAAAUGCGUAGAGAUCAUGAGGAAGACCAGUGGCGAAGGCGGGUCUCUGGACAGUUCCUGACGCUGAGGCACGAAGGCCAGGGGAGCAAACGGG
Molecule: ribosomal RNA, 253 nt
Filed under: uncultured bacterium
Lineage: Bacteria
Description: partial 16S ribosomal RNA
Rfam family: Bacterial small subunit ribosomal RNA
Source: RNAcentral